This is a long non-coding RNA of Dreissena polymorpha, 529 nucleotides long. RefSeq lists it as uncharacterized. Lineage: Eukaryota; Metazoa; Mollusca; Bivalvia; Myida; Dreissenidae. The record is from RefSeq and is a predicted model, not a curated record. The transcript is spliced from 2 exons.
UCAAUUUCCUCGUGUAGUGGGCAGUGUGUAUUGCUUUUGAAAAUUUUACAUGCAGUUCACACUGGUUGUAUCGUAGUCAUCAGACCGUAUCUGAAGUGAUUUAGAUAGUGUACAUUGCAUUACAAGGCAUGAGUGUGAAAGACAUUUACAAGUGGCUUUAAUAAAUUGUGGAAUGAUGUAGUUGUCAACACAAAGUUAUUGUGGUAAAAUAAUUACAAUUUUGAAUCUUAAUUGACAUCAUUUUAUAACUUUUUAUUCUUUCCAAAUGAGUGAGUUAAAAGCAUGGUGGAUACCUAUGGAACCAUAUCAAAAAGAUGAUACAUUUCAGCUAUGUUAGAUGUCCUUGCAAUUGGAUGGUCCGGCAGGAUUCUGGUCUGAAACACGUUACCCCCCACCAACCCAGGACCCAAACAUUCCUGAAAUAGACAAUACAAAGUUGAUUUUUCUAAAUUGCAAAUGUGCAUGUGAUUCAAUAUCACAGUUGAAAUAAUGUACAACAAAACAAGAAUAAAUGUUCAAAAAACAAAAA